ACCGGUUCCACGUCCACAUUCUGCCCCCUGGACACGUUGAUGUUCGUCAAAUAUAAAGGUACAUCGCCCAUUGUGAGGAUGCUAAACGACGUCUGUCCUCCACCCGCUGAACCGGAAGUGCCGCACACGACAUGUGCAGGAUGACAGACGAGGAAGAUUCCGGAGCCUCUAGAGCGAGAGAGUGAAAUGGAUAGAGGACUUGUCAUUUAUGGUCGGAGCCGGUGCCAGUGUAUGCCUCGGUAUGAGGUGGUGUACAAGUGAGAGACAAACCCCACACGGCUAAAACUGGCACAUGGUUCAACCUCUUGGCAACUAUCCGAGGGUAACAAUUACCGAAGCGUGGUACUCUUGGGGGACAUCCCACCUUCCCGUGGCUACCUAAUUCAAAUGAGUUUCCCUGCAUUCAGAUGGUGAGAAGAGACACGGGAAGAAGACGGAAGACCUGAAAUAGCCUUCUGAAACAGCCCGGAGCAUGAUGGGAGAGCAGCCUGCCUUAAUUCCCACCCCUUGUCCUUAAACGUGUGAGCACGCGCAAAAAAACAGAUGUCUGUUUACUUUCUCCUCCCUUCUCAUUUGAUUUAAAUAAAAGCCACCCAGUUCAAUUGACAUGUCGGAGAGAAAAUCAGAGUGAAGCAGGAAUUUACGAGUAAACAUUUCAUUUAUGCACCCCUCUCAUGUUUAUUCAUUCAUGACAAGGGCUAUAGUGAUGGAAAGUAAUGUUUCCGUUUUGGGCUAUUCAUUAGCUUGUGUAUCGCCUGAGGUGUAGCAGCCGCCUGUAAUGGUUGAAGCGAUGUUAUUGAAAGUACCAUGCGGAUUUUCAGUUCAUAUUCAUUUACUGUAGCAACAGUGGAAAAAGAGCCACGUUGCCACGUCUUUGUGUAGAGGGAGAAUGAGGGAACGGCGUUGUGUGUGUUUGUGCCCCAAUUCCUUCCUAUAUAUUUCAGAGGGAAAUUGUUUUAGUGACAGCACUGUUUCCGGAUGCGCUCAUCACUCAAGCCAAGGUCUCAGGUGUGAGAUGUUAAGAUACAUCAAGGCAUCGCUGAUCAAUAUUGAUCGAUCCGUGCAACUUCUGUGUAUACUUGCGGCCAUUUUGUGUGAUUCUAUUUAUGUCAUUAAUAUGAAAGACUUGGUGUCAGCUGUUAACCUUGCACAGAACUUGACUAAAUCACAAGGAGUGGAAAUGAAUGGAGUUGGUGGUUAAUGCAUUCUUGGAGCAGGACGGAUGAGGAAGAGUGUUUGUGUUAUAUAACGUGACACCAGAUGGUUUAAAAAGCGCACUUAUAUGAAUUUGUGGUUGUGGGAUUGGAUGUGUGAAGGAAUGCAAUGAGAUGUGCUUUUUUUGGUUUGAGGUUGUGUUGACUUUUUUUCUUGAAACCACUUAAAAUGCUAGUUUAAUGCAAAAGCACGAAAUCGACUUGAAUUAUUUUAGUCCAAACAUUUUUUUUGCGGUAAUUUAAUCCUGAAAAUAAUCCAGAAUACAUUACACUAUAGAUGAAUAAAGGGUCAAAUACCUCACUUGAAGUCUAUCUUGUAUUAUGUUUAACAAUAUGGAAUUUGUCUGCGGUCUGUACAAUGGCUGCAACCACAAAUUUUUUUCACUGCUGUCUUGAAGGCACAUUUCUAGAAACUAGUCACCUUGUGGAGACAGAUGUUGGAGAGUCUGACAAAUGAUGGUAUCCAGUAGAGCAAAAUAGACCAGAAUAACACAGUAAGAGUUGAAAAUAACAGAGAAAGGUGAAGCCAAAUGCAACAAAACUGACAGUGAACCAAAUGGAAAGAGCAGCGGACUCCAAUCCGGUUGAUACAGAAGAAAUUGUGGGCGGAGCUAAUUAGACAAUAAAACAAAAGUGAGACUGAUUAGCUAACAAUGACGCAAGAGCAUGGCUAAUAAAAUCCGGAGACAUUAUAAUUAAUGGAAAAGGUUGAGGAAAAAAAAUAAUAAAACAUACUAACUCCACAGAUGAGGACCAGAACCCGAGCAAAUAUUUCCAGAACGACCUCAUGAAUGGUACCUGAUGGCAGCCGACCACAAGCUGCCAAAAUAACAACUCAGUCGAUCUGUCGGCAUCUGUUAGCGCACAUUUCCAAAGAGGUAUUUUUCAACCAUAUGUUAUUUAUCUCUUUACAUGCAGUUUGAUACGUUUCGAGCAUUGUCAAAUGUAAUCAUUUAUUUGCGGUGAAUCAUUUCACAAGAGCCUUGAUUAGAACUGUAAUGUUUUAUAUUGAUAACAGUUGUACUGUUGUCGGUUUCCUGCAGGCAGGAUGAUAAUCGGACGUUUAAUGCAACACAUCCGUGGCAGGAUGAUGCUAAAUAUAAAUCGAAUCUGUCUGACUUCAUUUCAGCAACACCUGUUCAGCAUUCAUUGCUUUAGAAUGCAUUAUAAACUAAUUCCAUGACAGUCUUUCCUGCCAAAUAAAUAUAACAAAAUGGGGAAAGAGCUCGUAUCUAUUGAGAACAAAUAGCGAUGAGGGAAAAUGUUUUCCGAAUGGGAUAGAACGGCUGUUUGCUCUUCACAUGUGCAACCUAUCCACAAAAUGUCACGGAAAUUGUCACGGUAAUCAUGCCAACUAACAACAACAAACAAACCAAUCCACUGGUGAAAACAA
Molecule: long non-coding RNA, 2607 nt
Organism: Syngnathus typhle (broad-nosed pipefish)
Lineage: Eukaryota; Metazoa; Chordata; Actinopteri; Syngnathiformes; Syngnathidae
Exons: 4
Source: RefSeq, a predicted model, not a curated record